RNAcentral lists this long non-coding RNA (529 nucleotides) under Vigna radiata. RNAcentral describes it as "long non-coding RNA (VRAD_LNC015695)". The record is from RNAcentral. Lineage: Eukaryota; Viridiplantae; Streptophyta; Magnoliopsida; Fabales; Fabaceae.
AGCGGAUGAAUGGACUGAUGUGAAACUGAAUGUGCAGCGGAUGAAGUUUAGUGUGAAUAGGUGAAAUGGUUGGAAGUGCUUUUGGUGGCAUGGAUCUAGCUCAGAAGGCCUUCACCAUUGGAAGGAAGCUAGAGGAUAAGGUGGAAGAAGCACAAGAAUUUGACUCUCGGUGGAGAGAAGACGCUGGAAAUGCUUCAGCAUAUCUAUUCUCUCAAAUAUCCAAAAGUGUUUGUACAUGGAGGGCUGCCAUGAAUUUAUAAGAGAUUCAUGGAUCAGCUACGUGGCAUAGGUGCACCAAAAAUAGUGGAUCUAAGGCCACGUGCAAAUAAGCAAAAUUUGGCAGUGUGUGUUUCUAGAACAGGCACGUAAUACAUGUGCUAAAAAAUGAAGUCUACAUGUGCUUUUAUGAUGCACCCCCUUUUAUUACUAAUCUCACACCCCUCCCUUUGUGGAAAUGAUUCUUCUACCCUUCUCCUUGGGUUGGGUUGUUGGACUUUAUUUGGUGGGCUUGUGCCCCGCGUAUCAUCNN